This 75-nucleotide transfer RNA is filed under the name Dehalococcoidia bacterium. Its description in RNAcentral is "tRNA-Cys". It matches the Rfam family "tRNA". From Rfam's summary of the family: Transfer RNA (tRNA) molecules are approximately 80 nucleotides in length. Their secondary structure includes four short double-helical elements and three loops (D, anti-codon, and T loops). The record is from RNAcentral. Lineage: Bacteria; Bacillati; Chloroflexota; Dehalococcoidia.
GGCGGCGUAGCCAAGUGGUAAGGCGGGGGUCUGCAAAACCCCUAUUCAGCGGUUCGAUUCCGCUCGCCGCCUCCU